Molecule: ribosomal RNA, 692 nt
Filed under: uncultured bacterium
Lineage: Bacteria
Description: bacterial SSU rRNA
Rfam family: Bacterial small subunit ribosomal RNA
Source: RNAcentral
GUCGAGCGAACCACUUCGGUGGUGAGCGGCGAACGGGUGAGUAACACGUAGGUUAUCUGCCCAUCAGACGGGGACAACGAUUGGAAACGAUCGCUAAUACCGGAUAGGACGAAAGUUUAAAGGUGCUUCGGCACCACUGAUGGAUGAGCCUGCGGCGCAUUAGCUAGUUGGUAGGGUAAAGGCCUACCAAGGCGACGAUGCGUAGCCGACCUGAGAGGGUGAACGGCCACACUGGGACUGAGACACGGCCCAGACUCCUACGGGAGGCAGCAGUAGGGAAUCUUCGGCAAUGGGCGAAAGCCUGACCGAGCAACGCCGCGUGAAUGAUGAAGGCCUUCGGGUUGUAAAAUUCUGUUAUAAGGGAAGAAUGGCUCUAGUAGGAAAUGGCUAGAGUGUGACGGUACCUUAUGAGAAAGCCACGGCUAACUACGUGCCAGCAGCCGCGGUAAUACGUAGGUGGCGAGCGUUAUCCGGAAUUAUUGGGCGUAAAGAGCGCGCAGGUGGUUGAUUAAGUCUGAUGUGAAAGCCCACGGCUUAACCGUGGAGGGUCAUUGGAAACUGGCCAACUUGAGUGCAGAAGAGGGAAGUGGAAUUCCAUGUGUAGCGGUGAAAUGCGUAGAGAUAUGGAGGAACACCAGUGGCGAAGGCGGCUUCCUGGUCUGUAACUGACACUGAGGCGCGAAAGCGUGGGG